AUUUUACAGCACGCAGGGAUGUGGAUGAGUGUUCUGGUAAGUGAUAAGUUCUAGUGUAGAAGCCCUAAGUGGCAGUAAAGUGGAUGAUGUUGAUGGGA
Non-coding RNA from Chelonoidis abingdonii (Abingdon island giant tortoise), 98 nucleotides. NCBI's taxonomy places the organism in Eukaryota, Metazoa, Chordata, Testudines, Testudinidae. The record is from RefSeq and is a predicted model, not a curated record.